Long non-coding RNA from Rattus norvegicus (Norway rat), 9615 nucleotides. RefSeq lists it as uncharacterized. The record is from RefSeq and is a predicted model, not a curated record. NCBI's taxonomy places the organism in Eukaryota, Metazoa, Chordata, Mammalia, Rodentia, Muridae.
UGGGAGGAAACAGUUGCAGGGCCUCACCCUAAGAAGAGCACGGGAAUCUGUGAGCGACCCCAGAGUAAUGGACCUGGACUGCCUCUGGCGCAGGACUGGAUCAGACCAGGGAGCCUCCAGCCAGAGGCUCUUGGCCAGUACUGGAAAAGAGACAUAGAACCAACCUCCGUGCUGGGUCCAAAAAUCUCAGAGCUAAGGAUGAUCGUGGCCUGGAGGCUUGGAAAUCCAAGAUCACCUGACCGCAUCUGGGGAGGGUCUCACGCUGCUUUGACCCACGGUGGAAAACAGAAAGGCCAGUGGAUCCAGGAUUGGUUCCACGGGGCUCCUGAUCUUCAGUCUCACUAUUUGCUAAAUGCAGCGUAGAAAAUCCUAACUUGUAUGCCCUGUGUCCAGCGUUGCCUGGGCCAGCCUCGCUCAUCCGGCUGUGGGUUCACUGACAUGCAAAUUAGGUAGCUCAAAAGGACAAGAAAUGGAAUGAUGCCUGCCUGCCGCCGAGUCUGCCUGCCGUGAAGGACUCGCACACUCUGGGACCAUACGCCCAAGUAAACCCUUCCUUCCUCAGGGAUCUUCCAGAAAGCAGCUAUCUUGGAGGAGCAGCUGGACACAGAACAGACAAGACCCACUAGCGUGUCAGCCAGCAUAAACAAGUCUACUAUCAGAUGGACACUGUGUCAUGAGCCAGGUACUUAGUCAUUGGGCCAUCUGCCAGGACAAACCAUUCCCUGUGACAACCACACUGGAAACACCCACAGGCAAUCUCAGAUCCUGGUGCUGGAGUUCCCUGCUGUGAUCGCCCCCCACCCCAACCCCACCCCCGGCCAUCAUGUUCCAGGAAAGACCUCUCACUAGAGACUCAGCUAGAGGACCAGAGGAGCAUGAGACUACCGUAUUAUGCUGGUCACACAGAGCAAUAGUAGAACACAGUAGAAGGGAACCAUGCAAGGGCAUAUUCAAGCCACUCCAUCCAUCACACACCCGUCUUUGCCCCGCCCUGUUCUAAGAACAGCUUAGUUCAUCAACUUGAUGUUUAAUAUUACACUGCUCUAGUAUACUGAGUAGGUACCCAAGAAAUAAUCCCCCCUCCUGUGUGUGUGGGUGGGUGCAUGCACACGUGCGCAUCUGGUAUCUUCAUAUAUGAAUAGAGCAAUACACACAGAGAAUCCAGAGGAAGACGCCAUGAAUCCUGCUGCACCUUGUUCAUCUGAGGCUAUGUCUCUCGCUGAAACUAAACGAAGACUGUGGCCAACAAGCCCCAGUGAUCCUAAUGUCUGCAGCCCUACAGCACUAGGGUUCCUGACCCUUGAGCGGCUGUGCCCAGCUUCUAAGCACAUGGUGGGAUUUGAACCUAAGUCCUCAUGCUUAUACGGCAAGCACUCGCCCAUUGGGCCAUCUCUCCAGCCCCAAGAAACCCUUACUGAUUAACUCAUCGAUGUUUCUCUGCUUGCACUGAAGGCUGGUGAAGGUAAGAAUUAUGCAAAUCAUGUGUUUCAAAUGCCUGGCACAACAGGGACACCCUACGAUGAGGCAGAUACCACCCCAUCCCCACUUCACACCUAUAAGGAAAUUGGAGUUGAAUGUACCCAAGCCCGAGUCAUACCGGAGGACAGCGACCCAUACAUAGCGCGCAUACUUGGAAGGUGUUUGAAGAACUGACUGGCAUCUGGCUCAGAGCUCCUACUCCUACCAACCUUGCAAUUAUAAAAAUGGUAGCCCCUGGGCUGGGAGGUGGCUCAGUGGGUGGGACACUUGCUGUACAAGCACGCAGACCUGAGCUUAGAUCCUCUGCACUGUGGAAGAGCUCUCGAGUGAGGUUGGAACUCAAGCAUUAGGACGAAAGGCAAAGACAAGCAGAUCCUCUGAGUUCACUGACUAUCCGGUCAAGCCAAUCAACAAGUGCCGUGUUCAGUGAUGAGAAUCCUCAGCCAAUCAACAAGUGCCUUGUUCAGUGGACUCCUCAGCCAAUCAACAAGUGCGGUGUUGCCGUUUCAGUGGUGAGACUCCUCAGACAGUAAGGUCUGGAGAGGAGACAUGAGAGAGACCUGAGAGAGACCUGGAAUCAGACGAACUCAGAUACUUAGCUCAACACUGUCUGGUUUCUCCCUCCCCCUCCCCUCCCCCUCCCUCUAAAACCAUAAUCAUGUUUUCCCUGACUCCGGAUUUCCCCACUGUUUCUCUGACCUCCACGCCUAAGUUAAAAGAUACGGCUUUCUCUCCAUUUACCUCCUCCUGGCAGCCACUGAGGUUUUAAGUGUGUUUGGUUGGUUGGUCGGUUGGUUUUCGUCCCAGGGCAAAGGAUAGCACCAGGGGCAUGUGGUUAGAAAUAGAAACAGGGACAGCUUGAUAAGAAAGGAAAGGAACUCCCACAAAUGGUCGAGAGCUGAGGAAGAAGCCAAAAAGCUUUGGGUAUAAAAUGUGUCUGUAGCCCUUUAAAAAAGACUUCGCCAUGGUAUUCCGUUGGCUUUCCUCUGUUCAUUAGAAGACGCUCAGGUCAAAAGAGGAUUCCAGUUUUUCUCUGCCAACCUUUAUAUAUUACCCUGAUGUUGAUGUCUCCAGUCCCCACUCCACACACACACACACACACACACACACACACACACACACACACACAAACAUAUGUAUACAACACACAUGUCCAUACACAAACACACAUGUCCACUCCACGUAUGCACACAUACAACACAACUCUUAGUGCCUUCUUGUAACAACUAGCCGGGGAAUAAUAUAUGACUAAAUGGCAGAAGAAAAUCCAGCAUAGCCAUCAGAUGUGUCUCCAAAAGUAUUGUGCUUUUUUUUCUUGUUGUUGCAAUAACCACUGUAACAUACGUUUUAAUUCUUUUUCUUUCUUUUUUUUUUUUUUUUUUCGGAGCUGGGGACCGAACUCAGGGCCUUGCGCUUGCUAGGCAAGCGCUUUACCACUGAGCUAAAUCCCCAACCCCACGUUUUAAUUCUUAACAGUAAUUGUAGUGAUAUAUCAAUUCAGAAGACAUUUUCUCACUUAAAGCAUUUAUUCAAAGGCUUUUAUAAUCCCUAGGCUCUAUCCGCAUCCACAUUUUCAUACGUACCAGGAAUAUCUAGUCUAUUAAUGUAAAACUGAGGAACAAGAAUUGGAGAAUAAACACAAACUCAAAGGCAAAAAAGGAAUAUAACUAGAGCGCUUACCUAGGAAGCGCAAGGCCCUGGGUUCGGUCCCCAGCUCCGAAAAAAAAAGAACCAAAAAAAAAAAAAAAAAGGAAUAUAACUCAUGACUUUGGUUGUUUUUGGUUGUCUUUGUUUUUGUCGUUUUUGUCGUUUUUGUUGUUUGGUUGGGUGGUUGGUUGGGAUUUUUGUUUUUUUGGGUGUUUUUUGAGACAGAGUCUCACUGUGUAGCUCUGACUGUCCUGGAACUCACUCUGUAGACUGGGCCAACCUCAAACUGGCAGAGAUCCUCCUGCCUCCGCCUCCUGAGCGCUGGGACCAAGGGCUGGGAUCAUGACGUUUGGGAUCUCUCAGCAUCCAUGUAAGCAUCGUUCACAAACACCGGAUUGCAGGGCCCUCGAGUUCCAUGGACAACUUUCAGAAUGGAGACAUAAACACCUUCUGAAACACUGACAAUCUCUAACGUUUUAUAACUUAGGUACAGGGGUGGGAGAGGUGGCUCAGGGUGAAGAACACGCAUUAUUCUUGCAGAGGACCUGAGCUCAGAUCCCCAGCAUUUACACCAGGUAACUCACAACUGCCCAUGACUCCAGCAGCAGGGAAUGCCCGUAACCUCAGGCACAGCAUGUGUGUAGACAUACACACAUGCACACGCAAAUAAAUAAUACUAAAAUAUUUAAAAGAAGUUUCAAAGUUAAAUAAAAUAGUCAAAAGAAAAAGGAAACUGCAGUUUUGUAACUGUGUCAAGAUGAGCUUCAUCGUGAAUAUGAACCAUUGACCGUUAUUUCAGUGAGCUCACAGAGUUCAGCAGUUAAACGGAACUUCAAGGCCUCUCCCCUAGGUAGAAGGUCUCAACUUCACAAUUGCCUGAAGAGCUCUGGAAGGGGCUGGGCCAGGCUGUGCUGAACAAGUACAGCUUUUGUUUUUGUCUUUUCCUGGUCAGGAAGGCCUGGCUACUAAAGUUUUAGAUGUUUGAUACAAAGUAUGACAUGCACCUAUAAUGCUAGCCCUCAGGGAGCUGAGGCAGGAGGAUCACAAGUUCCAGACCGGCCUGGUUACACAGUGAAACUACCCUGUCUCAAAGACAAAACAGCAACAAAAAGGUUUUGCUCCGAUGCUUUUAAAUUUUAAACCACAUAAACUUAGAUGAAAUGUGGAGGGAGACGGUAAGUCAUCCCUGCCUCGGUGUUUGACCACUUCCUGUGAUUCCAAAGGUCUCUGGGGCUGUUGAUCUGUAGAAUGGAAAUGCUGCGCACUGAUACCUAGGCCCGCAACCCUCCUGUCCCAGCACCCCACAAUGCUACAGAGGCAGUAGCUUCCGGGUGGCUACCAGGGAAGUUAGCCGGAAGUUAUCGCUUUGUGCAAAGUCCGCUCUUAAGAGGUCAACGAGGGGGAUUGGGGAUUUGGCUCACUGGUAGAGCGCUUGCCUAGCAAGCACAAGGCCCUGGGUUCGGUCCCCAGCUCCGAAAAAAGAAAAAAAAAAAAAGUCAGCGAGGAAACUACCAACAACAAAGCUUCGAGUUUGCAGACACCUAUGAAUCCGUCUCUGGAUGCUAUAACGUAUAAUGAACUAUACAAAACAAAACCCUAGGCAAAAGAUUGUUCCAGUAACCAAAGCCCGACGCCUAAUCCAGGGCCGUUCCAGUCACUGGGUGAAGCUCCGACAUGUCCUUCCCAUUUCCUCUGACUCACGAAUGUAAACGAAAACAUAAGCAUGGCAGAGCUGCGCUCCUUGUCUGCUGCAGCCCUCGGCCGACUCUGGCCUGCCAAGGGCUUUCUGUAAGAGUCAGUUGUGCAAUUCACAAUAGAGAGUUCCUUAGUUUUUCUGCAUGUCUAAUGGUGUCCUGUGCAUCCCUGUGGCCAAAGAAGUCACAACAAACUUUUUUACACUUGUAAUUCUGCCGCGUGUGAAUGCCGAUUGAGAAUUUGUCAGAGUGCCACAGUACAGAGUCACUCUUGGUAUUGGUGCUUUUAAAAAUCUACCAGCUGAGCCCUGGUAGCCAGUGGGGGGUGUAAGGGGGGAGGGGGAAUAGCUCCAUCAGUGAAGUAUUUGCCUCACAAACACGAGGAUCUCAAGCCCCAUGAAAAAUGUCAGAUGUGGUGGCAAGGCAGCGGGAUCUCAACACUGGGAGGUAGAGAUGAGAGGAUUCCUGGGGCUCGCUGGCCCAGCAGCAUAACCUAAUUUCUGAGCCAAUGAGAGACCCUCUCUCAAUGACCUUCCAGAAAACUUAUCCUCACGGCCUCCUUGAAACAUUAAUGAACAAAUGCCAGCACACGCAUGUAUCUCCCCAACACAGUAAUACUCCAUGAUCUAACUUGCAGAGAACUAUUUACCCUCGAAGGAGACAGACAGGAAGACUGUUUUGCUGGUGCCUGGUUUUAUGUAGGAUACACACACACACACACACACACACACACACACACACACACACUCACAGCGGGUGCAGUACAGUGGUGAACACUUUUUUCCUCCAAGGUUGGAGAGAAGGGCAGGUUUGGGGAGAGUCAUAGAGAACUAUGAGUUCUCUAGUCCUAAUGCAUUAGGUCACAAGAUCUUUCCCUAAGACCGGAGCAAUUUAAAGACCAGGUCUGUGUCAUUAAUUACCGGAAGUACAUAAUCGAGUUUCCUGUGUGUUUGGCAAAUAAAUUGCUGUAUUGUAUUAAGAUAAAGUUAUGAUGCAUCCCCAGUGAUCAACCAUGGUACAAAUAACCUUAUGUGGUACUCAGCAGCCACUCAAAGUGGCAUUCAGUGACCUGAGAAAUGUUCAUACUAUGACAUAAUGGCAGAAAGAAAGUUACAGAGUAACACAUCAAUUACCAACAAAACUUGGCGUCAAGAAGAUCACACUAAAUAUUUUUUCCAGAACUUGACAAGGCAUAAAUCAACUCUUGGCUGGUGUCCGCCUCAUCUGGAGGAAACAAACACUUUGUAGCUCUUUGCGACACCACAAAAAGCUUUAAGGGAAGACUGUUUGGAUCAUGGCUGUUUCCUAGUUCUGGCGUAAAGUUGAAAUGGAUGCUGGGAGAUGUGGCUACACUAGCCCUGAGAAGAUGAAGGAAAGCUCAGGAGGACUCCCAUCCUGAGGUACCACCAGACAGGAUAUCUUGCCAGUGUGUAGACAUUUAGACAUGAUAUGGUACGUCCAAACUUGAAGGAGUGCAAGCUUGUUUCAGACUGCAUUGCAACUCCUUUGUAACAAAUCUUUCCAGUAUUUCAUGUUUGGGGAUUUCUAGUUGGCCUACGGUUGAUCCCACCUGGAUAAAAGGCGAAGAUGCAAGGUGAGAAUCAGGCAAGGGCUGGAAAGACUGAGAGGCGAGUUUAAAUAGUCUUUCGGACACUCACACACUGAGCAGAAUUCCUCCUGGCUGUGGCUGGGAACUGCUGGCUGGGAGGGAGGUAGAGAGACAGCUGCUAGCAUGCUUAGCAACACUUUGGACUCAAACACACAUUACCAAAUAAAUCGUUCACCAUUGUUCCAAGCCUGUGACUCUCCCGGACAUUGCCAGACAAACACUUCUGUGUAUAGCAGCCAAGAAUGGGAAAACAAGCUAGCCAGUUCCCUCUGGACCAAUAUGUUAUUGGGUGGUUCGUGAAACCGGCCUUGGCCCACCGCUCAGUGCACAGGAGCGGGGAGUGGCUAAGAGCAGAGGGAGAACCAGCUUCCAAGACAGGGGUAAGAAAGCACUGGCCCGACCCUGCAUCCCGUGAUGUCCCACACCAGGAAUUGAAUGAUGUAAGGGGCAGUAGGUGAGAGGUCAUAGGGUGAGAUGUGCUCCAUGUACAAUACAUGCAUGCAUUAUAAUGUUCUUGUAUGACACAGUUCUGUGUACAGUGAAUAGAUACAGUGAAAAGGUUUUUAAGGAGAGUAAUCAAAGCAUAAAUGAGAGCAAAAGUUACAAAAAUGCUAAGUGCAUCUGAUUAGGAUGACACGCAACUAUCAGGGGUUUUUAAGAUUUGUUUUUACUUACAUGUGUCUGUCUUUGUGUGUGUACAUGACACACAUGUGUGUAUGUGGGUGUAUGUGUAUGUAUGUGUCCUCAGAGACCAGAAGAGCAGGUCUCUGGGAUCUGGACUUACUGGUAAUUGUGAGCUACCUAGUUUAGGUGCCAGGAACGGAACACAGAUUUUCUUCCAGAACACCAUGUUCUCCGAACCACUGAGCCUUCCCUGCAGCCUCUUCUGUAGCAUUAGCAUUGAAAUACCCAUGUGUUGGGCACUGGGGGAGAGAGGAGACAGCUUAGUGGCUAAGAAUGCUUGCUGCGUGUCCUAGUAUGCUUUCUGUUGCUGUGAUAAACACCAUGGUCAAAAGCACCUUGUGGAGGAUAGGGUUGACCUCUUCCUAACAUUUGCAGGUUGCAAACCAGCAUCGAGGCAGAAACCAAAAAAAGAACACACUUCUAGACUUACUUCCUCUGGCUUGCUCUGCUGCUUUUCCUAUAGAGCCCAAGUCUGUCUGCCCACAGUGGCCCGGGCCCUCCUCCCUCCAUUAGCAACAAAGAAAACGCCCCACAGAACAUGUCCACAAGCCACUUUGAAGAGCCAACUCUUCACCUGAGAGUCUCCCUUCCGGGGUAUGUCUGAGUUUGUUGACAAAAACAACCAGCACAGCAGACCCAUACAUGUGCCUAGCACACACCUGUGCAUAGGCCACACAUGUACACUCACAAAGGAGAUUUUGACAGGACUUUUAAUAGCAAAGAAACAGCUUCACAAUGAUCUAAGGUACGGAAGUUGAUUAUCAGGGACCUCUACAUCUCUAUGUGAACAGAAUGGGCACAAAAAUGGUUUAUAUGAAAAAAAUGCACAGACACAAAGGAAGGCUAAGCUGGCCUUGGAUUUCCUUACCAUGUAAUGCUCAAGCAAUCAUUGUUGAUAAACCUGGAAACAGAUUCUGAUAGAGCACUCAGCCUUGGGGUGGCUCCAGAUGUCAGGAGGCCCUCACAGGGAACAUGCUAUCAUGACAGAUUUAGAGUAUAAUUGAUUUCAUUUGGCUUUAGUAGACAUUUAGAGAGUGCUUCUAUGGGCGAGGGUAUUAUGAUCUGAAUGUGGGGUGAACCCAAAGGAGACUGAGUGUUGAGGGCUUAGUGGUCAGCCUGUGGCACUGUCGAGCAGUGAUUGGUUCAGGAGAGUGCUGCCUCAUGAACGAGUCACUCCAUGAAUGAAUUUGUAGUUGAAGGGAUACUUGAAGGUAAGGCUGCCCUGAUGUUCUGCCUCAGCUCGGGCCAGAAGCAAUGGAGCUGCCCAACCUUCACUACCUGUCACAUUUAUAUUUAUUGUCAAUUCGAAUUGUCAGAAUUACCCAGGAGGAAAAUCUCUGGACCUGUCUAUGAGCGAUUGCCUAGACUGGGUUAUCCAAGGUAGGAAGAAGAGCCACACUAAACUCAGUGAGACCUGGCUGUGGGCUGAUGUUUUGGAUUGAAAUAAAUAGCAGAAUGGGAACUAGGAACCACACUCUCGGGUUCCUGCCUACAGGUACAGCAUGGCCGACUUGGUCCAUGACUUCCUGCCAUGAUGGACUGUGUGCCCUCCAACCGUGAGCCAAGUCAAACCUUUUCCUCCCUUAAAGUGCUUUUGUCAUGUGUUUGUCAGAGUGACAGACACCUGGCCGUUACAUGUUUGGGAUGUAAAGAUCUGAUGCAAGGUCUUUCUUUUGUAAUGCAAAAGGGGAUGCAGAUUAAAAAUAGAAAGAUGGCCACCCUAAUUCAAAACCAAAUUAACCAAAGACUCAUGAAGUCCUGAACAUGGCAGCAGUACUGGCUUCUUAUGCCGGCUCCUUCUGCUGUCAGGAACACAGCCGAACAUUCCUCUCUGGAAAUGGAGGAGACUGACCGGGAUGCAGCAGCCUGCUGGAUGCCAUCUCAUCCCUAGUACCGAUCUGUUUUGCUUUGAGAAAAUGAUCAGAAACCACAGGCUGACACCUUGGGAAUGUGUACUGGCCAGGCAAAAGCUGUCGGGUGACAAGUGACAGUGAGAAGAAGCUGGCCAAGACAUGCUCAGUCCAAAUGUCAGCGCCACUUACACUCUCAACAGCACUGUGUACUUACAUACACAACAAGGGGACAGCUGGGGAGCUGGGGUAGCUGAAGGCAGUCACCAUGCUGUUUGACAACAUCCCCCGGCCCGGUCUGGUGUCCUCCAGCAAGUUGUCACUAAGGAGCUAACCUGUGGUGGGCCAUAGAUUUCAACACAGAAGCUGAAGUCAUACUGGAAGAGAAGAUAAACAUCCUGACUUGGGGUAGCUGAGCCUGGCAAAGCAACCAUUAAAAUAAAAGCGAGAUUGGUGAUCGGAAACCAUAAGAGCCAACUCUCUGCUGCACAGACACCUUUCCUUUCAAAAUGAGUAAGCACCGAAGAGAUGGGAGGAGAGGAUUAGUAUAACCUGUGUCUGGUGAGGAUCUGGAAUCCAGGGUGUAUUUUUCAAACACUUAGGUAACUUAAUAACAAAAAGACUAUACAAUAAAAACAGAAGUUUCCCCAAA